GGGGGUGUCGCAUAGUGGCCAAUUGCGGCGGACUGUAACUCCGCUUCCUUACGGAUACGUUGGUUCGAAUCCAACCGCCCCCA
Molecule: transfer RNA, 83 nt
Filed under: Waddliaceae bacterium
Lineage: Bacteria; Pseudomonadati; Chlamydiota; Chlamydiia; Parachlamydiales; Waddliaceae
Description: tRNA-Tyr
Rfam family: tRNA
About the family: Transfer RNA (tRNA) molecules are approximately 80 nucleotides in length. Their secondary structure includes four short double-helical elements and three loops (D, anti-codon, and T loops). Further hydrogen bonds mediate the characteristic L-shaped molecular structure. tRNAs have two regions of fundamental functional importance: the anti-codon, which is responsible for specific mRNA codon recognition, and the 3' end, to which the tRNAs corresponding amino acid is attached (by aminoacyl-tRNA synthetases). tRNAs cope with the degeneracy of the genetic code in two manners: having more than one tRNA (with a specific anti-codon) for a particular amino acid; and 'wobble' base-pairing, i.e. permitting non-standard base-pairing at the 3rd anti-codon position.
Source: RNAcentral